AUCAGCCCCCAAAUGUAGUCUCCCAUCAUGUUCUCGUUAUACUGUCCUUGGUAGCGGCGUUCAAAGUCCAGUAUAUCCUGGUGGAAGCGCUCGCCUUGCUCCUCCGAGUACGCUCCCAUGUUCUCCUUGAAUUUAUCAAGAUGAGCAUCAAGGAUAUGGACUUUGAGGGACAUCCUACAGCCCAUUGUGCCGUAGUUCUUCACCAGAGUCUCAACCAGCUCCACAUAGUUUUCGGCCUUGUGAUUGCCCAGGAAACCCCGAACCACUGCGACAAAGCUGUUCCAAGCCGCUUUCUCCUUACUAGUGAGCUUCUUGGGGAAUUCAUUGCACUCCAGGGUCUUCUUUAUCUGUGGUCCGACGAAGACACAGGCUUUGACCUUUGUCUCAGACAGCUUAGGGAAGAAGUCUUGAAGGUACUUGAAGGCUGCCGACUUCUUAUUAGAGCUCUGACAAAUUGUUUCAUAAGGCCCAAUUUGAUGUGCAGUGGUGGCAUCAGCACUUUCCGGGGGUCCCAGCCAUACUCAUCAUACUCCAAGGCGUCCAGCAAGGUCUUGAUGCUGUUGUAAUCCUCUUUGAGAUGCACCGAGUGAGCCAGGGGAAGAGACGGGUACUUGUUACCAUUAUGGAGCAGCACGGCUUUGAGGCUCGUGGAUGAACUGUCAACGAAGGACAGUAUAACGAGAACAUGAUGGGAGACUACAUUUGGGGGCUGAUUCGUGAAAGUGAUUUACAGUAUAAUCGUAAAUCUCGAAAAACUACUCACUUCUAAUACUUUUGUAGUCAUUUUUGUAUUACUUUAGUAUAAAUACAUGUUAAUUUGGAUUCAUAUGUUGUUUUUUUCUGACUUUAUGUGAACGAAAAGACACAAAUUUGCCCGUUUUCUCAUUGGAAAUAGGUAAAUUUCAAAAUAUCACUGUCCUGGUCACAAAAGCAAAGUUUGUGGGGAAUAAUAGCCAUUUUCUAUACUUUUGAGGCAUAAGCAAUUAGGAAAUAACACUUACUACUCAGGAACAAAAAUUGUGUUACAUAGUGUAAUUACAAGAAGAAAAAAAGGUUCUGUGGGAGUCCUUUGGGGAAUCUUUACAGUGCGGUGCUACUUUUAAAUCCUGGCUGUGAAACAUAUGUGAUGGCAAUGUGACUAGUUUUGGGAUCUUGGACGCUUUUGUUUAAGGGUUUAUUGCUCUUUGCAAUAUGUAAAAUCUGAAACUCUAGGUGCCAGCACUGUAAAAGCCAGCUUAUAAUAUAGAACUACAGUAGGAGCAGUGGAAAGUCUCUUUAUGUUCUUCUAUAGGGGCUGGUGUUGGUUAUAGGGAUGGAGAACCACCAUGGAAAAAACACCACCCCAGCUCCUCCGUUUCAUCUAUUGAAUCACAAAUUCUAUUGAGUGAAUGUCUAAAAUAGUUUCUUUUGUGCCUGUUUGAACCAAAACGCUGGCAUGUUAAUUGACAACGAAAUACAACAUGUGAGUUCAUAUAUUUUACCAGAUUAAAAUCUAUUAUCAGGUUUAAAGGUUAUACAAAAAGAAAACGGUUAUAUCUUUCAUAAACAUUUUGCUAGAUGACAAGGUAAUCAUUUUAUUAUAACAUUACUUUUUUAAAGAGAAAAUUUUGUGUUCUUUAAUAGAAAGCAUUAACCUCCUGAAUGGAAAGGGCAGUUUCAAUAUCUGAAAAUGUACUUGUUUCUUUCCAUGCUGGCUAUGAAGCUAUUUCGACCCUGCUAGAAAGCUUUCUUGAUAUUUGUUAUUGUAUAAUGCCAACCGUUCCACAGGAAAGGACACCAUGACGCAUGGCCAGUCUGUAACAGAACAUUUUACUUAUUAAAUGCAGUUGUUAACCCUUGCAAAACCCACUGCUUUCAGGGUUAACCAGACUACUCAAUGAAUCACAGCUAGAAACUUGUAUCCUCAUGAUGGCAUCUUUCCUUUGAAAUGCAGUACGGCACAGCAACAUACAACCUUGUAGUGGGUGAAGUAAGCAAGCAUGCUGACAUGCUCUGACAUGCAGAAGUGGACCCAGAAGGAGACAAAGUGGAUUGAGAAAGGGGGUCUCAAGAUUCAGGGGAAGAGAAAUGGAUGUUUAUCAUGGAAAGCUACCCCUUUAGAGGAAGGGCAGCCGUUAGGAUCAAGGACAGGUGGAGGAACAUGAAAAUGCUUAAGAUGUACAUUACAUAGGAAUGUAUAAAAUUACAGAUACAGCAUACAUUUGAUAGGUCACUUAAACCUAACAUUUCUAUCUCAUAUAUGACUAAUGAUUACCAAAUGUGAUUUCCAAGACCAUUGAAAAUACAUUCCUUGUGUUGCUUGGUUCAUAUAUUUUCAGACACUUUCAGGGUACAAUUUGCUAUCCUACCUGUCAUAUUGAAACACAACACUGGAACAUGAAUUGACUGGAAUAUAGACACAGAUGAUAACUGAUGGAGAUUGCUGGUGAUGACCAAUCGUAUUUAAACUUACGAUCUCGCAGUAUAGAAAUGAGCUCUUGAAGUACUACCAUCCAACAAACUGUACACCUUAUAUUGAUUACAUUGAUUGCAUUUUCCUAUCAAUUUCAUUGCCUGCCUUUGCCAAAUUAGUUCACUAUGGGAGGGGAUUUCAACCUUUUUUUGAAACUGUACCCCUUCUGUCGGGAGGUUUCAGCUAAAGUACCCUUUACAAUUUUUGCUCACUGAAUGAUACCACAAUUGCAAUAAAAGACAGAAUAAUCUGAUUAACACAUUUUUUCCAGUUUAUUUAAUAUAUCAUUUUUCAAAACAGUCUGGGGCUGACAAACUGCAGGUUUAAGAUAGAAUACCUAACAGUAGCUUAAUUCUUAAAACUUAAUUCAAUGUCUUUGGAUGCACAGAAUUAAAAGACAGUAUUUAGGAAUCUCUUUGGAAACACUUGUAUUCGCUUCAUUUUUGCCAUGCAAUUAAGAAAUGCAUCCAUCUCAAACACCGACAAUAUAAUCAACCAUCCGCUAUUGCUGUUACUAAAAUGCAUCCGCGGUAAUAAAUAAAACAAAAACCGUCAAUGAAUGAGUAUUGUGAUUAGCCUACUAUUUAUGUUUAAAAAAAGCAGAAAUACUGUGCUUCACUAAUACAAUUUGAAAACAGCAAAAAUCACGAGCAGCACAGAGUGCUGUCCAUAGGCACAAUCGGCAGACACCUCGCAGAGGUGGAAAAUGUGGAUGUGAUAGAUUUUGUGUAUUUGUUUUCAUCUGCAGUUUACUUUGAGCUGCUAAACAAACAUUAAAUAAUUAUACACAGUAUUUUAGAGAGUGUAUACUACCGCUAAAAAAUAAUUAUUUUCUUUUAAUUUGUGCAUUUCUGUCCUGCGUACCCCCUAUGACCCUUAGAAGUACCCCCAGGGGUACGCAUACCCCCGUUGGAAACCCCUGCUCCAUGGCAACCAAAACAUAGCAAAGAGAUGGAAGUGCAUCAUCGCAAGUGCUCAAAUGAUAAAUGAAUUAUGCGAAUACAUCUAUUCAUUUGAAAUGAGAGGUUUGGGUCUGCUUUCUGUAUGGUUUGAUAUUGAACACAGCAGCUGUCACACUGCAGCAGACACAUAUCCAGGGCUUUGCCUUUAUUAGGGUCUGUUAGCUUUGUGUGUGAAAUUAAACUGAAAAGAAAAUAGAAGAUAAUUGCAAGUGAGGUUCACAGUACAUUCCUGUCAGCAACUCCAGUGGCUCUUAAAUUACUUUUCUGACUAAGAGUCUGAAUAUUUGAUGGAUAGCUUAUAAAAGAAGCUCGGUCUAAUUCCUCAAGUCAGAACACAUUUAGAAACAAGAAUAUAGAAUGAAAGCGACAGAUAGCUUUUUGCUCCAGUCUGUAAUUUACAAAUCCAGAAAACAGAACAUUUCUUUCAGUGAGGUUUUGUGGAUAUCUGGUAUUGUAUCUGGUGGUAUUGUACAUACCCUGAUUGUUGACUAUGGUACCAAAAUAGUAACAAACAGCUCUGUGGCUUAAAAAUAAAAAUGUCAUUGUUGAAAGUUGUUAACCAUAUGUGAUUGAAGAUUUUGUGAUUCCACUGUUGGUCAAAAACAACUAAAUAUAUGGAUUGCUGUCAGACUUUCAGGCAUCUUACAUGAACUUCAGUCCUCUGAGUUCCAGUAAAAAGGGAUUUUGCUCUAAAUCUGUAAUUUACACCAAGUGGGAUUGCAUUUAUCUUCGCAUGUCUUGCUUCAAAUGACUUUGCACCAGGUUAUAUACUUAGACUCCAGCCACUCACAGCCACAGCUUACAGGUACGUACGUAAUCAUUUAGUGAUGUGAUUUAAAAUACAUUUCAAUGUCAUUCUAAAAGACAUUAUCUAAAAUAUAUUAACAGCAGUAAUAAUAACACAGGGUGCAUUUGAGGUGAUUCAUUAUUCAGGUACACAUCUUAUCUGGACCGCUGCCUACAAGUAUCACAGCUUUUAAAAACAACAAAAUAAUAAAAUAAUAAAAAUCAAAUGCUUUUUAUAUUUUGUUGGAUCCAACAGGUUUUUACUGGUCAUGUUUCUUGACACGUAAGUGUGAUAGUAAGUAUAAACCAGGAGUGCAAUAACACAUCUCCCCCAUCCCCCAACACACAUUUGUAGCUUUCUAAAUUACGAACCCAUGAACUCCAGUCUCCAGUAAUGCUGUAAUUACAGGAUAACAAAUCAGAAAUGACAAAUGUGUCCUCUUACAUGAGAUGCCAGCUCACCUGGGAUACCAUUAAAGAUCAAGAUAUACAUUUCUCUUUGCUGCAGAUGAAUCCAGCAGCCAUGUGAAUUCCCAAUGUGUCUUGUAGGAAGUAAACAGGGUUGAACAAGGAUUGUUGUUCUAUUUCAGCUUCGAAAAUGCUAAAAAAAAAAAAAAAAAAGAAAAAGAAAAAGAAAAAAUCCUGUACCAAAAAUCCCACUUGCACUCUUCAGGUUUCAAGGGAAAAAGGUUCCUUCCUCAGCAGAAAGGAUACAACACCCUUUCAGUAACACUAAAAGCGUCUAAAAUAAGGUAGAUUACACAAUAACCAGAGAAAGGAAUAUUUGCUUUACUAAAAUGACUGCAUUUAAGUAACCCAGCUUUAAGUGUUUAUUGUCAUUUGCACAAUUAACGUGUACUAUUAUACUAUUAUAAUUACCAUAAACAAAACAAUUUGUACUGUAGCUCCUGUUUAUAGCUGCCAGCGAAAGACUUGGAACAGAUUAUUUGUUUGUGAUGUCAACAUAUUUGGUGCAUCUGUAACUGUUUUGACCUUGAAAUCGACCAAACAGCUCUAAAUGAAACACCAGGCUCUUCAUAUGGGUUUGGAGUGUGUUCAGUCAUGGCAGAGAAAUCAAACUAAAUAACGAUUUUAUAAAUGUAUUAGCAUAUAUAAACUGUACCCCCGGGUUAUUUCUAAUGUCUUUUAGUGCGAUUAAGAAAAAACAAUAAGAAAUAGUUACAAAUAAAUCCGAAAAACAUUUUAUAAAUGAGUUAGUAUUUAAUUUUAGAGGUAUGUCAUGGGGUUUGACACUCAAGCGGAAACGAGCAAUGUGCAUCAUUAAUUAAAUGUUCUACAUGCUCAAAAAGAUUUCAGUAUGUUUUUUGCAAUAAUAAAUGACAAAUAAUGAGCAGACUGUUUCACAGCAUGGUGACAUACUCUUUUUUAAAAAAAAAUUUAGAAGGCUAUUAUGCCCUGCAAUUUUCUGAAUUUAAUUAGAACGACUUAAUUCCAGAGAGAUUGAAAUUCAGAUAGGAAUUCUAAUGAUUUGCAAUCAGUAAACAUAUGUAUGCAUCUACACUAUGUUACUGCAAAGCUUAUCUACCUUUAAAGACACGGUGCAGCCCUCUUCAGAGUCUGUUUACUGUAUAAGAAUCUGUAGUUUGUAGAAUAUAACAUGUAUGAUUGAGAAGCCUUGUGUUACAUCCCCUGUAUGAUGCACGCCUCUUGUGUACCUUAUCAAAAUCAUAAUAGCAUACCACAUUGUACCCUGGGUAUAUUGCGUACCUUAUAUAUUGUACAACCCUGUAUUUAAAUGAAUGUGCUUCAU
Molecule: long non-coding RNA, 5971 nt
Organism: Acipenser ruthenus (sterlet)
Lineage: Eukaryota; Metazoa; Chordata; Actinopteri; Acipenseriformes; Acipenseridae
Exons: 3
Source: RefSeq, a predicted model, not a curated record